RNAcentral lists this ribosomal RNA (500 nucleotides) under uncultured bacterium. RNAcentral describes it as "partial 16S ribosomal RNA". It matches the Rfam family "Bacterial small subunit ribosomal RNA", at positions 899 to 1397 of the family's 1533-position model. The record is from RNAcentral.
ACUCAAAGGAAUUGACGGGGGCCCGCACAAGCGGUGGAGUAUGUGGUUUAAUUCGACGCAACGCGAAGAACCUUACCCAGACUUGACAUUGAUGGAAUCCCUUGGAAACAGGGGAGUACCCUUCGGGGACCUGAAAACAGGUGCUGCAUGGCUGUCGUCAGCUCGUGUCGUGAGAUGUUGGGUUAAGUCCCGCAACGAGCGCAACCCUCGCCGUUAGUUGCCAUCAGGUAAAGCUGGGCACUCUAGCGGGACUGCCGGUGUUAAACCGGAGGAAGGUGGGGAUGACGUCAAGUCCUCAUGGCCUUUAUGUCUGGGGCUACACACGUACUACAAUGGCCACUACAAUGCGUCGCGAACUCGUGAGAGGGAGCAAAUCGCAAAAAAGUGGUCUCAGUUCGGAUCGGAGUCUGCAACUCGACUUCGUGAAGUCGGAAUCGCUAGUAAUCGAGGAUCAGCAUGCCUCGGUGAAUACGUUCCCGGGCCUUGUACACACCGCCCGU